AUUGAACGCUGGCGGCAUGCCUUACACAUGCAAGUCGAACGGUAACGGGUCCUUCGGGAUGCCGACGAGUGGCGAACGGGUGAGUAAUAUAUCGGAACGUGCCCAGUAGUGGGGGAUAACUGCUCGAAAGAGCAGCUAAUACCGCAUACGACCCGAGGGUGAAAGGGGGGGAUCGCAAGACCUCUCGCUAUUGGAGCGGCCGAUAUCAGAUUAGCUAGUUGGUGGGGUAAGGGCCUACCAAGGCAACGAUCUGUAGUUGGUCUGAGAGGACGACCAGCCACACUGGGACUGAGACACGGCCCAGACUCCUACGGGAGGCAGCAGUGGGGAAUUUUGGACAAUGGGCGCAAGCCUGAUCCAGCAAUGCCGCGUGCAGGAAGAAGGCCUUCGGGUUGUAAACUGCUUUUGUCAGGGAAGAAAUCUUCUGGGCUAAUACCCCGGGAGGAUGACGGUACCUGAAGAAUAAGCACCGGCUAACUACGUGCCAGCCGCCGCGGUAA
RNAcentral lists this ribosomal RNA (500 nucleotides) under uncultured bacterium. Its description in RNAcentral is "partial 16S ribosomal RNA". It matches the Rfam family "Bacterial small subunit ribosomal RNA", at positions 30 to 523 of the family's 1533-position model. The record is from RNAcentral.